This 946-nucleotide ribosomal RNA is filed under the name Melogramma sp. Its description in RNAcentral is "partial large subunit ribosomal RNA". It matches the Rfam family "Eukaryotic large subunit ribosomal RNA", at positions 61 to 1379 of the family's 3401-position model. Lineage: Eukaryota; Fungi; Ascomycota; Sordariomycetes; Amphisphaeriales; Melogrammataceae. The record is from RNAcentral.
GAAACCAACAGGGAUUGCCCUAGUAACGGCGAGUGAAGCGGCAACAGCUCAAAUUUGAAAUCUGGCCUUCUGGUCCGAGUUGUAAUUUGUAGAGGAUGCUUUUGGUGCGGUGCCUUCCGAGUUCCCUGGAACGGGACGCCUUAGAGGGUGAGAGCCCCGUACGGUUGGACGCCUAGCCUCUGUAAAGCUCCUUCGACGAGUCGAGUAGUUUGGGAAUGCUGCUCAAAAUGGGAGGUAAAUUUCUUCUAAAGCUAAAUACCGGCCAGAGACCGAUAGCGCACAAGUAGAGUGAUCGAAAGAUGAAAAGCACUUUGAAAAGAGGGUUAAAUAGCACGUGAAAUUGUUGAAAGGGAAGGGUUUAUGACCAGACUUUUUCCAGGCGGAUCAUCCGGUGUUCUCACCGGUGCACUUCGCCUGGUUUAGGCCAGCAUCGGUUUUGGCAGGGGGAUAAAAGCCUCAGGAAUGUGACUCCCUCGGGAGUGUUAUAGCCUGUUGCAUAAUACCCUUGCCGGGACCGAGGUACGCGCUUCUGCAAGGAUGCUGGCAUAAUGGUUAUUAGCCACCCGUCUUGAAACACGGACCAAGGAGUCGAACAUUUGUGCGAGUGUUUGGGUGUUAAACCCUCACGCGUAAUGAAAGUGAACGGAGGUGAGAGCCCGUACGGGUGCAUCAUCGACCGAUCCUGAAGUCUUCGGAUGGAUUUGAGUAAGAGCAUAACUGUUCGGACCCGAAAGAUGGUGAACUAUGCGUGGAUAGGGUGAAGCCAGAGGAAACUCUGGUGGAGGCUCGCAGCGGUUCUGACGUGCAAAUCGAUCGUCAAAUCUGCGCAUGGGGGCGAAAGACUAAUCGAACCAUUAAACCAGCGGUAAAUUUUGAUUUACUAGGUGGUUAAGAGGUGGCCCGAGAGGGCUGACAUCAACCUAGGCCCGGGCCGAACUACCCUGUA